RNAcentral lists this ribosomal RNA (407 nucleotides) under uncultured bacterium. RNAcentral's name for it is "bacterial SSU rRNA". It matches the Rfam family "Bacterial small subunit ribosomal RNA", at positions 355 to 776 of the family's 1533-position model. The record is from RNAcentral.
CCGAGAAUAUUCGACAAUGGGCGAAAGCCUGAUCGAGCGAUACCGCGUGGUGGAUGAAGUGCUUCGGCACGUAAACACCUUUUAUGAGGGAAGAAGUUAUUGACAUUACCUCAUGAAUAAGGGGCUCCUAACUCUGUGCCAGCAGGAGCGGUAAUACAGAGGCCCCGAGCAUUACCCGGAAUUACUGGGCGUAAAGGGUGCGUAGGUGGUCGUAUUAGUCGUCCGUUAAAAACCGUGGCUCAACCGCGGAAGUGCGGGCGAAACGGUACGACUCGAGGGCGUGAGAGGUGCAUAGAACUCUGGGUGUAGGGGUGAAAUCCGUUGAUAUCCAGGGGAAUACCGAAAGCGAAGGCAGUGCACUGGCGCGUUCCUGACACUCAAGCACGAAAGCGUGGGUAGCGAACGGG